Molecule: long non-coding RNA, 2452 nt
Filed under: Olea europaea subsp. europaea
Lineage: Eukaryota; Viridiplantae; Streptophyta; Magnoliopsida; Lamiales; Oleaceae
Source: RNAcentral
CUCCCUUUCAACCUUGUUUAUACAUUUCAAAUUAGCCAUGGGAAAGAAUGUGAUCUUUAUGUUGACGACAAUGCUUUACUUGUUUACGUGUGCUAUUGAUCUCUCAAUAGCUCCACUGAUGAGUAUGCUCUUCUAGCUUUCAAAUUUCAAAUAACUUCUGAUCCAAAUAAAAUCUUAGCCAAGAACUGGUCUCAAGGAAUCUCUUUCUGUAAUUGGAUUGGUGUUACUUGCGAUGAGAGGUACCAAAGAGUGACGGGCUUAAAUCUAGCAAAUAUGGGUCUAUGAGGUACCAUAGCUAAAGAAAUAGGUGAACUCUCUUCUUUAAGAUCCUUGGUUGCUAGCAAUAAUAAUUUUCGUGGUACUAUCCCUGAUGAAAUGGGUAAUUUAAGCCAACUUCGAGAAAUAGAGAUUCAGGACAACGAGCUAAUUGGUUCUAUUCCAUCAAGUUUUGGAUUUCUUGACAAUCUACAGAAGUUAAAUGUCUCAAAUAACAGACUCAGCGGGAAUAUUCCUAAUCUCGGCCUCGACCCAGAACCCCAAGAUGGGGCUCGGCCCGAGCCGGCUCGAGCUUUUUGCAGGCCAAGUCACGAGCGGCACGAGCUCUCGAGCCUUUUUGCCAUCCCUAAGGUCACCCGUGUGGUUGACUCUACCCGAAUGGUAUGAGAAUUAGUUUAAUGGUUGAGUUUAAAUUCGACACUUAAGCUCCCAACAUGCAUCUGAAUAAGUAAAAUUCGGGUAAAUAAAAAGUGGGUAGGGUACAUGAGUGUGGUGAUUUGAUUUUGCCAAAUUAACAUCUCAAAGUUGAUUCUUGGAUUGUGGAUAUUGAACUCUUUCCACUACGAUCAAGUUUCUGACCAAAAAAAUGAAUGCUUGACAGGGCUGUAAACAAGCAACCAAAAUCAAGUAAUUCCACCUCUCAUUUCUUGCAAUUUCAAAUAAGUUCUAAAAUUUAGAACUCAAGCAGAAGCAUGGUAAUAAGUUUUAUAUUGGUAUCAUAGCUUAAGUAGGUUUUUUCUUGCUUAAUGACGUGCUGAAAAUGGCUUUAUAUACUGAAAACGCAUGUAAACUAUUUUUCUUUAAGGUUUGAGUAACUUUAAUGGUAAGUUAUGAAAUAUUUCACAUAGAUUCUUGAAAUUUAUUGUGCAUGUUCAUGUUAGUAUGUAAAACAUGUCUGCAAAAUUUCACUGUAUUUGGUUUUAUAUUUUGAGAGAAAAAUGGAACCCUAAUUUAAGAACUCGAAAUUUCAUAACAUCAUAAUUCCUUGUAUGUUGUGUUACAUGCUAUUUAUUUGGUAUGAUUAGAUAGAUUUUCUUGAGACCUUUUCAAUGGUCUAAAGAUGAUUAAUUUUGGUCUUAAAAUGAAGAAGUCAUAGCCUCCAGAAGUUUGGUUGAUUUUCUGAAAAUUCUACACAUUUUUUGAAGAUGAGCCACAAAAAAAAAUAAAAUAAAAUAAAAUAAAAUAAAAAAUUCCAUCACCCACUCACGGAUCAAUCUGUUGAUGUCUAAAACAUGACCUUAGAAAUUGAUGUUGUAAAAUUUGACUGCACAGAUAAACUCAAAACAUCAAAUUAGUUAAACGGGCUAAACAAAAAAUAAAUAAAAUAAAAUUUGGGUGUCAAGAAGGCGACACGUGCAAUCUGUGAAUGACGGUGCUAAUUUUUUUUUUUUUAAUUUAAAAAAUUAAGAAACUUUGGUGGAUGUGCCGGGUCGGGUGUAGGGCCUAUUUGAAAUUAUGAAAAUUGUAGUUUGGUCCUUGAAAUAUUCUGAAUUUUUUUUUUUUUAAAUCAAGAAUAUUUAUUAAGUGGCACUUGCCUAGUGUGAGUUAAUUUUUGAUAUGCUCUUGGUUUUUUUUAGAAAUUGAACAAAAAACUUUGAAAGCAUUUAAAAUAUCACAUUUUCUACAUUCAUAAGUAGUGAGAGUCUUGAUUAGGUUAUAUAAUCCAUUUUAAUCAGUUUUCAUUUUUUUGCUUAAUCAAAUAAAGCUAGAUUUAUGCACACUUUUAGUAUCCUUAGAGUUGAGAGUUGGAACGUGUUGGAAAAAUUACGUGCUUAUCGAAAUUAUGAAAUAGAUUCACAAUAUUACCUGGUACAAUACAAAAAUCAUCUAGAAGCCAUGUGCUUGGAAGUAAUGAAUUUGAGAGAAUAUAUAUGUGAGGUGAAAAAAAUGCAUCAUCUUAUGAGAACACUUUCCAGCCAAUGGCAGGACAUUGCAUUUGAAAUUUUGGAUAAGUUACCUCCUCUAGCCUCAACUAUCUGAUCAGGAUUUUGAUAAAGAAGUGGAAGAAAGAAAACUAGAACAUCAAGAAAAUUCUCAUAUUUAUGUAUAAUUAGUUAUAGUGAUGCCUUGGUGACUUAAUCAAAUUGUUGUCCAAUAUCAAGGUAAUGCUCUUCUCAUGUCUAGUGGUUGUAUAGAAGAGUAUAAUGCGGUCGAAUGUACAUACUUGACAUCUUCU